GACGAACGCUGGCGGCGUGCUUAACACAUGCAAGUCGAACGGUAAGGCCCUUCGGGGUACACGAGUGGCGAACGGGUGAGUAACACGUGGGUGAUCUGCCCUGCACUUCGGGAUAAGCCUGGGAAACUGGGUCUAAUACCGGAUAGGACCACUGCCUGCAUGGGUGGUGGUGGAAAGCUUUUGCGGCGUGGGAUGGGCCCGCGGCCUAUCAGCUUGUUGGUGGGGUGAUGGCCUACCAAGGCGACGACGGGUAGCCGGCCUGAGAGGGUGACCGGCCACACUGCGACUGAGAUACGGCCCAGACUCCUACGGGAGGCAGCAGUGGGGAAUAUUGCACAGUGGGCGCAAGCCUGGUGCAGCGACGCCGCGUGAGGGAUGACGGCCUUCGGGUUGUAAACCUCUUUCAGCACCGACGAAGCGCAAGUGACGGUAGGUGCAGAAGAAGGACCGGCCAACUACGUGCCAGCCGCCGCAGUAA
This 478-nucleotide ribosomal RNA is filed under the name uncultured bacterium. Its description in RNAcentral is "partial 16S ribosomal RNA". It matches the Rfam family "Bacterial small subunit ribosomal RNA", at positions 28 to 523 of the family's 1533-position model. The record is from RNAcentral.